RNAcentral lists this ribosomal RNA (324 nucleotides) under uncultured bacterium. Its description in RNAcentral is "bacterial SSU rRNA". It matches the Rfam family "Bacterial small subunit ribosomal RNA", at positions 28 to 334 of the family's 1533-position model. The record is from RNAcentral.
GACGAACGCUGGCGGCGUGCUUAACACAUGCAAGUCGAACGGAGCACCCUUGAAAGAGUUUUCGGACAAUGGAUAGGAAUGCUUAGUGGCGGACUGGUGAGUAACGCGUGAGGAACCUGCCUUUCGGAGGGGGACAACAGUUGGAAACGACUGCUAAUACCGCAUGAUACAUUGGUGUCGCAUGGCACUGAUGUCAAAGAUUUAUCGCCGAAAGAUGGCCUCGCGUCUGAUUAGCUAGUUGGUGAGGUAACGGCCCACCAAGGCGACGAUCAGUAGCCGGACUGAGAGGUUGGCCGGCCACAUUGGGACUGAGAUACGGCCCAG